RNAcentral lists this long non-coding RNA (877 nucleotides) under Setaria viridis. RNAcentral describes it as "long non-coding RNA (SVIR_LNC000198)". The record is from RNAcentral. Lineage: Eukaryota; Viridiplantae; Streptophyta; Magnoliopsida; Poales; Poaceae.
CUCUGCUCUCUCACUCCGCCACUCAUGCUCCCUGAGCUGCUUGAGUGAGGAGAGCUGAAAGAGCUCUAGCCCAUGGCGUACUUCUGCGUCCACCCCCUUGCCGUGGACUCGUAUCUGAGGCGGUCGGUCUUGCACAUGUGCGCGAUCUCCGGCACCAGCGGGUCGUCCGGGUUUGGGUCCGUCAGCAGCGAGCAAAUGGAGAGCAGGACCUUGGAGAUGGUCAGCGCCGGGCUCCACUGCUCCUUGAGAAUGUCCAGGCAGAUGUUGCCGUUGCUGUUAAUGUUCGGGUGGAACACCUUCGUCUUGAACGCCACCUGUUUCAUUUGUUCGUGGUUUUCAUUCAUUCAGUUCGUCGUCGUCGAUGAGCAUGAGAUUCUCAGCUCAGACUUCAUAACAUUGCAUAAUUCAGCGAAAUUUUGGAGAUGAAGAGUGGGUGAGUACCUUGGGAGGCUUGAAUGGAUAGUCUGGAGGGAAGUGGAUGGUGACCAGGAACACGCCUCCAGAGUAGGGGCUGUCGCUGGGGCCGAUGAUCGUCGCUUGCCAGUGGAAUAUGUCAUCAGACACAGGGCCUGAUCACAAAGAACAGUUGAACCAGAAUUCAGAAGAAAGAAAAUUCAACUUUGAACUUCCUUUUUCUUUGGGGUCUGAAAUUGUAUGCCUGACCAUGUGUACACCAAACUGAUUGAUACCUGCGCUGCAGGACGUCGGUGGAUCCCUCUGCAGGUCCUUGAGCUCCUUGAUGAUUCUCCGCAGCGCCAUGGAUAUCGGAUCCUUGCACUAGCUCCUGAACAGCUCUUGAAAGGAAUGAAGAGUGCCUUAUUGAUCUGAAAGUCUCAAACUGCACAACUAACGAAACCGGUUUGCUUCGGUGUCCGGG